GUCAGAAAGCAUAUUAAAACCAACGCUUGAGCUGGAAGCCUCGGUUUGUCAGUGCUGUUAGAAAAACGAAUUAGUGAAGAAGCCUGAAUAUUAAAACAAGUUUUGGAGCUGCUUUUUUUGUCGAACACGAAUGAGACUGGACGCUGAAUACACUUGCGGCGUGAAGGUCUACUUGUAUAGCUGCUGCAGCAUGGACAGAGACACCGACAUCACCUUACAGACCAACAGGUGUCACCACUUUGUCCACAACAUUGUCCACAAUCGCAGAGACAUGGUCCAUGACCGGAGAGACAUUGUUGAGGAUGAGGGAGACAUCGUCCACGAUCAGAGACGUUGUCCAUGAUCGCAGAGACCUUGUCAAAGAUGAGAGAGACGUUGUCCGUGAUCAGAGACAUUGUCCCAUGCUUCGUAGAGACCUUGCGAUAGAAUCGGCGGAGACGGGGGUCACCGAUUUGACGGCAUUGCCCGCGAUCAUGGAGACAUUGUCAAUGGUCUCAGAGACAGCGUCUAUGAUCUCAGAGACAUCGUCCACGAUCACAAAGACAUUGUCCAUGAUCAUAGAGACUUUGUCCAUAAUCUCAGAGACAUUGUCCGCGAUCACAGAGCCGUAGUCCACGAUCACAGAGCCGUAGUCCACGAUCACAGAGAUGUAGUCCACGAUCACAGAGAGUCUUCAUACAGUGAAGAAGUUCUUUCAGACCAAGACACAGGCCUUCAGGUGUCACCACUUUGUCCACGAUCACAGAGAUGUCGUCCGCGAUCGUUGAGACAUGGUCCAUGACCGGAGAGACAUUGUUGAGGAUGAGGGAGACAUCGUCCAUGAUCAGAGACGUUGUCCAUGAUCGCAGAGACCUUGUCAAAGAUGAGAGAGACGUUGUCCGUGAUCAGAGACAUUGUCCCAUGCUUCGUAGAGACCUUGCGAUAGAAUCGGCGGAGACGGGGGUCACCGAUUUGACGGCAUUGCCCGCGAUCAUGGAGACAUUAUCAAUGGUCUCAGAGACAGCGUCUAUGAUCUCAGAGACAUCGUCCACGAUCACAAAGACAUUGUCCAUGAUCAUAGAGACUUUGUCCAUAAUCUCAGAGACAUUGUCCGCGAUCACAGAGACGUAGUCCACGAUCACAGAGAGUAUUUGUACAAUGAAGAAGUUCAUUGAGACCAGGACAGAGGCCUCCAGGUGUCACCACUUUGUCCACGAUCACAGAGAUGUCGUCCGCGAUCGUUGAGACAUGGUCCAUGACCGGAGAGACAUUGUUGAGGAUGAGGGAGACAUCGUCCAUGAUCAGAGACGUUGUCCAUGAUCGCAGAGACCUUGUCAAAGAUGAGAGAGACGUUGUCCGUGAUCAGAGACAUUGUCCCAUGCUUCGUAGAGACCUUGCGAUAGAAUCGGCGGAGACGGGGGUCACCGAUUUGACGGCAUUGCCCGCGAUCAUGGAGACAUUAUCAAUGGUCUCAGAGACAGCGUCUAUGAUCUCAGAGACAUCGUCCACGAUCACAAAGACAUUGUCCAUGAUCAUAGAGACUUUGUCCAUAAUCUCAGAGACAUUGUCCGCGAUCACAGAGACGUAGUCCACGAUCACAGAGAGUAUUUGUACAAUGAAGAAGUUCAUUGAGACCAGGACAGAGGCCUCCAGGUGUCACCACUUUGUCCACGAUCACAGAGAUGUCGUCCGCGAUCGUUGAGACAUGGUCCAUGACCGGAGAGACAUUGUUGAGGAUGAGGGAGACAUCGUCCAUGAUCAGAGACGUUGUCCAUGAUCGCAGAGACCUUGUCAAAGAUGAGAGAGACGUUGUCCGUGAUCAGAGACAUUGUCCCAUGCUUCGUAGAGACCUUGCGAUAGAAUCGGCGGAGACGGGGGUCACCGAUUUGACAGCAUUGCCCGCGAUCAUGGAGACAUUGUCAAUGGUCUCAGAGACAGCAUCUAUGAUCUCAGAGACAUCGUCCACGAUCACAAAGACAUUGUCUAUGAUCACAGAGACUUUGUCCAUAAUCUCAGAGACAUUGUCCGCGAUCACAGAGACGUAGUCCACGAUCACAGAGAGUCUUCAUACAGUGAAGAAGUUCUUUCAGACCAAGACACAGGCCUUCAGGAGGAGAUGACGACAGCAGCUGAACACCUGCAGUGGAUGAAAGAAAACAAGUAUUACGAAGCUGUUAAUUAGAUAAAAGACCUCCACCAUCUAACUGCUGUAAACAGUGUUUGGUUU
Lates calcarifer (barramundi perch) is the source of this 2206-nucleotide long non-coding RNA. RefSeq lists it as uncharacterized. The transcript has 7 exons. The record is from RefSeq and is a predicted model, not a curated record. Lineage: Eukaryota; Metazoa; Chordata; Actinopteri; Centropomidae.